AUACUGCAGUCGACGAAGUGCACUUGUGUACUUAGUGGCGAACGGGUGAGUAACACGUAUCUAAUCUACCCAAUAGCGGGGGAUAACAGUUGGAAACGACUGCUAAUACCGCAUAUGAUUUAUUAAGAUAACUUUAUAAAUUGAAAGGCGCUCUCAAGCGCCACUACUGGAUGAGGAUGCGCCGUAUUAGCUAGUUGGUAGGGUAAAAGCCUACCAAGGCAAUUAUACGUAGCCGACCUGAGAGGGUGAACGGCCACAUUGGGACUGAGACACGGCCCAAACUCCUACGGGAGGCAGCAGUAGGGAAUUUUCCACAAUGGACGAAAGUCUGAUGGAGCAAUGCCGCGUAAUUGAUGAAGGUUUUAGGAUUGUAAAGAUUUGUUGUUAGGAAAGAAAAAAUGUAAUGGGAAAUAAUUACAUUCUGACGGUACCUAACCAGAAAGCCAUGGCUAACUAUGUGCCAGCAGCCGCGGUAAUACAUAGAUGGCAAGCGUUAUCCGGAUUUAUUGGGCGUAAAGCAUGCGCAGACGGUUUAGUAAGUUUAAGGUUUAAGCCUGGAGCUCAACUCCAGCCCGCCUUAAAAACUACUUGACUAGAAUGUAGGAGAGGUUAACGGAAUUCCAUAUGUAGCGGUGGAAUGCGUAGAUAUAUGGAGGAACACCAGUAGCGAANGCGGUUAACCAGCCUAUUAUUGACGUUUAGGCA
Molecule: ribosomal RNA, 705 nt
Filed under: uncultured bacterium
Lineage: Bacteria
Description: bacterial SSU rRNA
Rfam family: Bacterial small subunit ribosomal RNA
Source: RNAcentral